Molecule: ribosomal RNA, 247 nt
Filed under: uncultured bacterium
Lineage: Bacteria
Description: partial 16S ribosomal RNA
Rfam family: Bacterial small subunit ribosomal RNA
Source: RNAcentral
AUACGGAGGAUGCGAGCGUUAUCCGGAUUUAUUGGGUUUAAAGGGUGCGUAGGUGGUUUGAUAAGUCAGCGGUGAAAGUUUGCAGCUUAACUGUAAAAAUGCCGUUGAAACUGUCGGACUUGAGUGUAAAUGAGGUAGGCGGAAUGCGUGGUGUAGCGGUGAAAUGCAUAGAUAUCACGCAGAACUCCGAUUGCGAAGGCAGCUUACUAAGCUACAACUGACACUGAGGCUCGAAAGUGUGGGUAUC